RNAcentral lists this ribosomal RNA (497 nucleotides) under uncultured bacterium. RNAcentral describes it as "partial 16S ribosomal RNA". It matches the Rfam family "Bacterial small subunit ribosomal RNA", at positions 28 to 507 of the family's 1533-position model. The record is from RNAcentral.
GAUGAACGCUGGCGGCGUGCCUAAUACAUGCAAGUCGAGCGAACAGACGAGGAGCUUGCUCCUCUGAUGUUAGCGGCGGACGGGUGAGUAACACGUGGAUAACCUACCUAUAAGACUGGGAUAACUUCGGGAAACCGGAGCUAAUACCGGAUAACAUGUUGAACCGCAUGGUUCAACAGUGAAAGACGGUCUUGCGGUCACUUAUAGAUGGAUCCGCGCCGCAUUAGCUAGUUGGUAAGGUAACGGCUUACCAAGGCGACGAUGCGUAGCCGACCUGAGAGGGUGAUCGGCCACACUGGAACUGAGACACGGUCCAGACUCCUACGGGAGGCAGCAGUAGGGAAUCUUCCGCAAUGGGCGAAAGCCUGACGGAGCAACGCCGCGUGAGUGAAGAAGGUCUUCGGAUCGUAAAACUCUGUUAUGAGGGAAGAACAAAUGUGUAAGUAACUAUGCACGUCUUGACGGUACCUAAUCAGAAAGCCACGGCUAACUACGUG